Long non-coding RNA from Syngnathoides biaculeatus (alligator pipefish), 930 nucleotides. RefSeq lists it as uncharacterized. The transcript is spliced from 3 exons. The record is from RefSeq and is a predicted model, not a curated record. NCBI's taxonomy places the organism in Eukaryota, Metazoa, Chordata, Actinopteri, Syngnathiformes, Syngnathidae.
CUGAUCUUCGCGCCUGCGCAGUCCGCACAACCCAAAAGUUGACGGCAACUUACCAACAUGUCGGUGCGAAUACACGAGUCGAGCUGAGGCGGCGCGUUGUACUCAAUGCCGGAUUUCACCUGUUUCUCCACGAAGCUGCGAUCCACUCGAGGAAUUUGGACACCUUCGUGUAAACUCCGGGGUGGUUUGGCUCGGCGCAGCCAUUCCCCCAGCUGACGACCCCCAUCAGCCUCCAUACGUUGUCAUCCUGGCACACCAAAGGCCCACCGCUAUCUCCCUGGGUGGACGGCGUUGGAUACACGUCAUCCUCGACCGACUGAUCCAGUCCACACAGUCUUGAAAACAUCAAAACAAGGUCGUGGAAAGACACUAAAAAGCUGCGAUCCCUCAUUCCACAAGGGGCAACUCUCUAAGAGAUCUCUAAAUUCAAGAGUUUUUCCUCCAGAUGAAAGCGCUCCCGGAGAAAUUCUGUCAGCAAAGCACUACCAAAUGUCAAUCCGCCAACCAGGUGCAUGCUCAGUGACCUGGUUACGGACCUACUGCAACUUCACUACGUCCUCGAGCAGAACCGCGGCGCCAUCUCAUCUCGCCGGCCCGCGGACACACGCAUGUCCGUGGGUGACGCGGCACAUCGCUAAACAUCCUACAGGAAGCCCAACUGGCACUGUCCCGAAAUGUCAGCGGCGGGUCAGGAGGUUGGGGCCCUGGUGCAUCCUGGGAUGACGAUUGUCUGUCUUGCAUUGACAAUUACGAGCGCCGUCAUUGUAUCACUAAUUCAUAACUUUGAGUGUGCAAAGAUUACGGGAACUGAAGAACUCGUCAGUCAGUACAAUCAAAACAGAGCAGCGUAAAGCUUGAAAGUGGGGCUGCCCGAAUGAUUAUUUUAAUAAUCGACCAUAACACUGUUCCAGUUAUAUUUUGAUGAAUUUG